This 377-nucleotide ribosomal RNA is filed under the name uncultured Archaeospora. Its description in RNAcentral is "SSU rRNA". It matches the Rfam family "Eukaryotic small subunit ribosomal RNA", at positions 569 to 952 of the family's 1831-position model. The record is from RNAcentral. Lineage: Eukaryota; Fungi; Glomeromycota; Glomeromycetes; Archaeosporales; Archaeosporaceae.
AGCAGCCGCGGUAAUUCCAGCUCCAAUAGCGUAUAUUAAAGUUGUUGCAGUUAAAAAGCUCGUAGUUGAAUUUUGGGUUUGGCCGAUUGGUCCGUUCUUGUAACGAGUACUGGUCGGUUGGGCCUCACCGCUUGGGGAGGUAAUGCCCUUUAUUGGGUGUUGCUCGGAGCCAAGACCUUUACCUUGAAAAAAUUAGAGUGUUUAAAGCAGGCAUAUGCCAGAAUACAUUAGCAUGGAAUAAUAGAAUAGGACAACGAUUCUAUUUUGUUGGUUUCUAGGACCGUUGUAAUGAUUAAUAGGGAUAGUUGGGGGCAUUAGUAUUCAAUUGUCAGAGGUGAAAUUCUUGGAUUUAUUGAAGACUAACUACUGCGAAAAGC